UUAAGCGACUAAGCGUACACGGUGGAUGCCCUGGCAGUCAGAGGCGAUGAAGGACGUGCUAAUCUGCGAUAAGCGUCGGUAAGGUGAUAUGAACCGUUAUAACCGGCGAUUUCCGAAUGGGGAAACCCAGUGUGUUUCGACACACUAUCAUUAACUGAAUCCAUAGGUUAAUGAGGCGAACCGGGGGAACUGAAACAUCUAAGUACCCCGAGGAAAAGAAAUCAACCGAGAUUCCCCCAGUAGCGGCGAGCGAACGGGGAGCAGCCCAGAGCCUGAAUCAGUGUGUGUGUUAGUGGAAGCGUCUGGAAAGGCGCGCGAUACAGGGUGACAGCCCCGUACACAAAAAUGCACAUAUUGUGAGCUCGAUGAGUAGGGCGGGACACGUGGUAUCCUGUCUGAAUAUGGGGGGACCAUCCUCCAAGGCUAAAUACUCCUGACUGACCGAUAGUGAACCAGUACCGUGAGGGAAAGGCGAAAAGAACCCCGGCGAGGGGAGUGAAAAAGAACCUGAAACCGUGUACGUACAAGCAGUGGGAGCCUCUUUUAUGGGGUGACUGCGUACCUUUUGUAUAAUGGGUCAGCGACUUAUAUUCUGUAGCAAGGUUAACCGAAUAGGGGAGCCGAAGGGAAACCGAGUCUUAACUGGGCGUUAAGUUGCAGGGUAUAGACCCGAAACCCGGUGAUCUAGCCAUGGGCAGGUUGAAGGUUGGGUAACACUAACUGGAGGACCGAACCGACUAAUGUUGAAAAAUUAGCGGAUGACUUGUGGCUGGGGGUGAAAGGCCAAUCAAACCGGGAGAUAGCUGGUUCUCCCCGAAAGCUAUUUAGGUAGCGCCUCGUGAAUUCAUCUCCGGGGGUAGAGCACUGUUUCGGCAAGGGGGUCAUCCCGACUUACCAACCCGAUGCAAACUGCGAAUACCGGAGAAUGUUAUCACGGGAGACACACGGCGGGUGCUAACGUCCGUCGUGAAGAGGGAAACAACCCAGACCGCCAGCUAAGGUCCCAAAGUCAUGGUUAAGUGGGAAACGAUGUGGGAAGGCCCAGACAGCCAGGAUGUUGGCUUAGAAGCAGCCAUCAUUUAAAGAAAGCGUAAUAGCUCACUGGUCGAGUCGGCCUGCGCGGAAGAUGUAACGGGGCUAAACCAUGCACCGAAGCUGCGGCAGCGACACUAUGUGUUGUUGGGUAGGGGAGCGUUCUGUAAGCCUGUGAAGGUGUACUGUGAGGUAUGCUGGAGGUAUCAGAAGUGCGAAUGCUGACAUAAGUAACGAUAAAGCGGGUGAAAAGCCCGCUCGCCGGAAGACCAAGGGUUCCUGUCCAACGUUAAUCGGGGCAGGGUGAGUCGGCCCCUAAGGCGAGGCCGAAAGGCGUAGUCGAUGGGAAACAGGUUAAUAUUCCUGUACUUGGUGUUACUGCGAAGGGGGACGGAGAAGGCUAUGUUGGCCGGGCGACGGUUGUCCCGGUUUAAGCGUGUAGGCUGGUUUUCCAGGCAAAUCCGGAAAAUCAAGGCUGAGGCGUGAUGACGAGGCACUACGGUGCUGAAGCAACAAAUGCCCUGCUUCCAGGAAAAGCCUCUAAGCAUCAGGUAACAUCAAAUCGUACCCCAAACCGACACAGGUGGUCAGGUAGAGAAUACCAAGGCGCUUGAGAGAACUCGGGUGAAGGAACUAGGCAAAAUGGUGCCGUAACUUCGGGAGAAGGCACGCUGAUAUGUAGGUGAAGUCCCUCGCGGAUGGAGCUGAAAUCAGUCGAAGAUACCAGCUGGCUGCAACUGUUUAUUAAAAACACAGCACUGUGCAAACACGAAAGUGGACGUAUACGGUGUGACGCCUGCCCGGUGCCGGAAGGUUAAUUGAUGGGGUUAGCGCAAGCGAAGCUCUUGAUCGAAGCCCCGGUAAACGGCGGCCGUAACUAUAACGGUCCUAAGGUAGCGAAAUUCCUUGUCGGGUAAGUUCCGACCUGCACGAAUGGCGUAAUGAUGGCCAGGCUGUCUCCACCCGAGACUCAGUGAAAUUGAACUCGCUGUGAAGAUGCAGUGUACCCGCGGCAAGACGGAAAGACCCCGUGAACCUUUACUAUAGCUUGACACUGAACAUUGAGCCUUGAUGUGUAGGAUAGGUGGGAGGCUUAGAAGUGUGGACGCCAGUCUGCAUGGAGCCGACCUUGAAAUACCACCCUUUAAUGUUUGAUGUUCUAACGUUGACCCGUGAUCCGGGUUGCGGACAGUGUCUGGUGGGUAGUUUGACUGGGGCGGUCUCCUCCUAAAGAGUAACGGAGGAGCACGAAGGUUGGCUAAUCCUGGUCGGACAUCAGGAGGUUAGUGCAAUGGCAUAAGCCAGCUUGACUGCGAGCGUGACGGCGCGAGCAGGUGCGAAAGCAGGUCAUAGUGAUCCGGUGGUUCUGAAUGGAAGGGCCAUCGCUCAACGGAUAAAAGGUACUCCGGGGAUAACAGGCUGAUACCGCCCAAGAGUUCAUAUCGACGGCGGUGUUUGGCACCUCGAUGUCGGCUCAUCACAUCCUGGGGCUGAAGUAGGUCCCAAGGGUAUGGCUGUUCGCCAUUUAAAGUGGUACGCGAGCUGGGUUUAGAACGUCGUGAGACAGUUCGGUCCCUAUCUGCCGUGGGCGCUGGAGAACUGAGGGGGGCUGCUCCUAGUACGAGAGGACCGGAGUGGACGCAUCACUGGUGUUCGGGUUGUCAUGCCAAUGGCACUGCCCGGUAGCUAAAUGCGGAAGAGAUAAGUGCUGAAAGCAUCUAAGCACGAAACUUGCCCCGAGAUGAGUUCUCCCUGACCCUUUAAGGGUCCUGAAGGAACGUUGAAGACGACGACGUUGAUAGGCCGGGUGUGUAAGCGCAGCGAUGCGUUGAGCUAACCGGUACUAAUGAACCGUGAGGCUUAACCUU
This 2900-nucleotide ribosomal RNA is filed under the name Escherichia coli. RNAcentral describes it as "bacterial LSU rRNA". It matches the Rfam family "Bacterial large subunit ribosomal RNA". Lineage: Bacteria; Pseudomonadati; Pseudomonadota; Gammaproteobacteria; Enterobacterales; Enterobacteriaceae. The record is from RNAcentral.